Molecule: microRNA precursor, 61 nt
Filed under: Parasteatoda tepidariorum (common house spider)
Lineage: Eukaryota; Metazoa; Arthropoda; Arachnida; Araneae; Theridiidae
Source: RNAcentral
GGUGAGUGGGAUUUUAGUCCUGUAUCUAAAACACUAUCAUGACUAGAUCCACACUCAUCCA